Molecule: non-coding RNA, 100 nt
Filed under: Streptomyces variegatus
Lineage: Bacteria; Bacillati; Actinomycetota; Actinomycetes; Kitasatosporales; Streptomycetaceae
Description: Glycine sequence
Rfam family: Glycine riboswitch aptamer
About the family: This family represents the bacterial glycine riboswitch. Glycine riboswitches usually consist of two metabolite-binding aptamers domains with similar structures in tandem.
Source: RNAcentral
UGAAUCCGCGCGGGAGAGUCCCCAGCACCGCAAGAGCUGGGGCGCCGAAGGAGCAAGUCCCUCCCUUGAAUCUCUCAGGCCCCGUUACCGCGCGGGCGAG